RNAcentral lists this long non-coding RNA (15943 nucleotides) under Nicotiana tabacum (common tobacco). RNAcentral's name for it is "long non-coding RNA (NTAB_LNC018243)". The record is from RNAcentral. Lineage: Eukaryota; Viridiplantae; Streptophyta; Magnoliopsida; Solanales; Solanaceae.
GACUACACAAAAAGAAUGACAGCCUAUCUUCUUCAAAAACAACAAAAAUUCCCAAUUCCAAAAGAAGAAGAAAAAACGGUAGCCGUGAAUCUUUGAAUCUUCCAAUAUCUACAUUUUAAGAAAACGGUAGCACCCCUAAUUCAAGAGAGUCGACGGCCAUGACCUGUCAACUUUAGCAGCAAAGUCUCAUGUAUUAAUUUGAUUCUUAAAACAUUUUAAGAGAUUUUCUUUCUGGCACUUUUCUUUGGAUCUUCGAAAGGCAAUGAGAGAAGAAGAUAAAAGAGAAAUAAUUCAUUCACUAUGAGAAGAAGACAAAGAAGAAAUAAUUUAGAAGCUGAUUGAAAUAGCGAAUGAAAUAUCACGCAUUAUUGAGUUCAAAAAUUCAGUGAGAACAGAAGAAGUGAACGGACGGGAUUUUUCUCGUUCUGAUUUCGGAUUCGAAUCCUUUUGAUUUUCACGUCGAAUUCUGGCUUCUUCUGAUUUUCGAUUCGGAUUCCUAUCUGAGGUGUUAGUCGACGUCGAGUUCGUUGGUUCAAAUCCCUCUAGCGAUUUGUUGCUAUUUUCGUUCAAAUUUUUAUUGCCGGAUUCAUGUGUACCUGCUGAUUUUCACAUAGUGACAGAGUUAGCUUUAACAGCCACAGUUUCGUUCUUUUUGCAUGUGUAACUGCUGAAUAUUUUGAGAAAUCGAAACGUCCAUUUCAGUGAUUCUUGUACAACCAGGUAUUUAUUUUGUAUUUGAAGUAUUCAUAUGUUAGAUAUAAUCUGUUGCUUAUGGUGUAGAUUUGAUUUAGAGUUUUUUUCUUGUUUAAUUUUGUUGGAUAUGCUUUAAUUGUUCCAUAAAUUAGUCUACCAGUUUGGUUUGUUUAAUUUGCUUUGUUUGAAAUUAGUUCAAGACCUCUAAAAAUUAGUUUAGAUGUCUUACUGUAUUCCCGGUUCAAUGCGCUCAUGCAAAUGAGGAAUAUUUGGGAAUUCUAACAAAAUAUUUUGUUGAAAGUAAACGUUUUCCAAGGUAUAACAUUGUUUAGAGUUUUUUUUAAGAGCUUAAGUUGUGUUUUAAAUUAGUGUGGACCAAAGAAUCGAUUGGGUCAACAACCAUAAUCUAAUUUUGGUUUGGUAAAUGUUCCAAGUUUGAUGGUUAUUCUAACUUUGGAGUUAAUAAUGGACAUGAAUAACGUGCUAGCCUAUUGUCCCUAUGUAUUCCAUAAUUAUAAUAAUCAAAUCUUAUACCCCUCCAAUAAUUCCAUAGCCCAUGGCCUUACAAUAAUCUCAAAUUAGCUUUAAGAAUAUUAAUCCAUGAACACUCGUAGUUUGCUUUAGGCUCGACUUAGAUUAUUAUUGUGAUUAUGUAUAUGUUCGCGUAACAUAAUCGCGAAUUUAAUUCUAAAAAAAGUAACUCGAGGGAUGCAUUCGCGCAACUUCAACCAAACGUUUCUUAAUAAAAUAAACAAAGCGUUAUUAAUUGUGAACACGUUCGUGUGAUAUGAUUUUUGACACGCCAAAGGAAAAGAGUAUACGUACGUGUAACUCGAUUCUUUAAUUACGAAUAAUCAAGCAUUAAAAGUGGUGAAAGAUAAAUGCACAUAGAUCCUAAAAAUAAGUAGUUAAACAAUUUAAGCCAAGUAUAAAUCGCUAAGCGACCGUGCUAGAACCACGAAACCUGGGAAUACCUAACACCUUCUCCUGGGUUAACAGAAUUCCCUUACUUAGAAUUUCUGGUUCGCAGACUUUUAAAUAAAGUCGAAAACUUCCUCGAUUUGGGAUUUAAAAUAAAUCAGUGACUUGGGAAACCAAAUAAACUAUUCCAAGUGGUGACUCUGAUAAAUUAAAUAAUCCCAUUUCGAUUAAUUUCACUUUAAUUGGAAAAACUCCCAUAUAUUCCUCGGGGUAGUAAAAAGGAGAUGUGAUAGUUCUGGCGACUCUGCUGGGGAUCGAACCUAGAAUCUCUGGUUCAGGGUUCAAGAAUUCGAGCUUGUUAAUGUGAUUUUUAUUUGGCUUUAUUGUAGAUAUUACUGUAUUUUGUGGACUUAAUGUGUUAAUUGUCAUUAUCGCUUUGAUAUUACUUGAACUGUAUUUAAAUGCCUUCUUAUGCCUCCCUUCCGAGUCUUCUAAAAAAUAUGUGCUCACGUUCGCGUGACCCACUUUUCUGUUAGAGUUAUACAAAAUAGAACAGGGCUGGGCAAGCAACAAGGCCGGGAAGACAUUUGUACUCCCGGUACGUUGCCCCCUCCUCGACUCGAGUUUGCCCGCUUGGGUAAGCCAGGUCUAGAACACAUCCCCAGGUUUAAAUCUAGAAUAACAAAACCUCAUGCCGGAUCCCUAGUAGGAAUGUUUGUUUGCAUCACGUGCAUUUGACUUUGGGGACUCAACACAGGGGUUGGGUCCAUCUAGAACAGGUGUACCCGAAAGAAAAGACCAUCCUGAUGCAUCUUACGUGCUAUUUGUACAUUUAUUUGUCUCGGCUUGUAUGUUGAUCGGAUAAAGAAAGAAAAUCAAUAGAAAAACCAAGAGUAAGCUAGGAUAGAGAAUUUACCCGAUUUUUGAAAAUACCGGUAUUUGAAAAAUGCCACGAAACUCUGCCAAAAUUUUUGAAAAAAAGGAAGGAAAAUGUGUUUCAAAAAAAAUGAGUCAAAUAUCAUGUUUUUAUGUCAAAAUUGACCAAACUACGUAGGUCUGAUUCUCACCGGAUGUGAGAUAUGUAGGCAACCCACAUAAGGUUCAGCCUCAUUUUUUACAAAAAAUAAUCGAGUAAAGUGUAGUUUAGGGCUUUGGUCAAAAGAAUAAGCUGACCCAGCUUCUGUUGUAUUUUAAGCCGUUCUUACCGGAAUAGCCUUAGAUUACCUUUCAAUUGUCGAAAGUCUAUUUUCGGGAAGAACGGGCAAGUUUGUCUAAAAUGUGUUUUUCCAAUAUAAUACUUUCCCCCGGCCUCAAAAUUUGUUUGGAAUUGCGAAGGGGCCACAUUUGCAAAAACGACCAUUUUUGCUAAAGUAGCAUAAAAGGGGGUCUUUGUCCGUUGAUUUUCUUUAGAAAUUGAAAACUUGUUUUGCAAAAAGAGUCCAUAAGAGUCAACCCUAACCUCAGCCCUCCACGGGUACAAAUGAAUACUGUCCAGAACUCAUCACCAAUGAAUACUGUCCAGGACCCCUCGCAAAUGAAUACUGUCCAGGACCCGUCACAAAUAAAUAAUGUUCAGAACCAGUCACAAUCUGUCAUAGAACGAGUUCAGUUCCAGCUUCGUAUGUGCUGGAAUGAUUUAGAUAAAGAUGGCCAGGAUUAGGUGAAAAAGCAGUUGGGUUCCCUUAUAGACAUCAUGAGCAUCAAACCCCGGGAGGAUUUGAUCAAAGCCUUGGUAACCUUUAGGGAUCCUGUCCACAACGUGUUCUGUUUCUCCGAUUUCAAGCUUACCCCUACUCUAGAGGAAAUGGCCAGAUUCAUUGACUUUGGUCAAGAGUUGAGGAAGCAACAACUCAUAUUCCCAAGGGCUCCCUCUGUGCACAAAUUCUUCGAUCUUCUGAAUAUUAGUAAAUAAAUGAAGAAGGCCCAUGUAAGCAAAGGUUGUUGUUCUUUCUACUUCUUAUACUUCAGAUUCGGGCAUUCGGCUGGUUUUGAAACACAAGAAAAAGGGCUAAACAACAAACAAGAUAAGAGCUGGCAAAUUCAUCGUCGGUUCACUUUUAUCAUGGCAUUUUUAAGGAUCAUGGUCUUUCCAAAUGCGGAAGGGACAAUAGACACUCGUAUGGCCAGAAUUGCACAACUCCUUACUACCAAGGAAGGUCACGCACUUGUUCCGUUAGUGCUGGCAGACAUUUAUCGUGCAUUGACAUUGUGCAAAACCGGGGCUUAAUUCUUCGAGGGUUGCAAAAUUCUUCUUCAAAUAUGGUUGAUCGAACAUAUCCGCCGUCACCCCAAGUUCAUGAGUUACGAGGUGGAUGGGAACAACUUCAUAAUGAGUCAUGAGGAGAGGGUAAAAGAUUACAAAACUCCAAAAGGUUUUGAGGCUUGGGUUUCCCACUUAAAGGCAAGUCAAAUUGAAUGGAAUCUAGGGUGGCUUCUGGUAACAGAAGUCAUAUACAUGACAACUUCGAAAGGCUACUUAAUGAUGAUGGGCCUGAGGAGUAUCCAACCAUAUGCACCGCAAAGAGUUCUAAGGCAACUGGGAAGGUAUCAAGUGGUACCCGAAGAUGUAGAUUUGAGUACCCAAGUCAUUGAGCUACACCCAGAAGCAACACUGCCUGAGGCUUUAGUCCAACGGGAUUGGAAUGGUUGCCGAUAUCUGAAAAGUGACACCCAUGUGCCGGAUCUUGCGAGAGGAGAAGUGGAUCCGGAUUAUGCUGCAUGGUUUGAGAGAAGGUUUUGUACAAAUGAUGAACCAGAGCCUGAGCCCGAGCCUGAGCCUGAAAGGACCAUCAAGAGACCUCAUGUUCAAGAUUUUGAUGAUAAAAUUCAGGAGAGGUUGGCUUGGGGAGAGAAGGAGAAAAAAUAUCAAGCCACCAUUCGCGCUAUGCAAGUAGAAUUGAGAAAUGUCGUAUUCAAUAACGAUCUACAGGCACAAGAAGCUGAAGGUGAAAGAAGAAGGUUGGUCCAAGAAAAUGAAGCUCUCCGAGCCUAAGUUCGGAAAAUGAGAAUAUCAGCUGAGAACCCGGGGCAGAAGUAGAAAAGAUGAAAGGCUCAUCUACAGCCUGACGCAAAAAGUACGUGACUUUGAGGAUGAUUUGCAAAAGACUGAGUCCGAGCUAGUAAAAGUACGAACAAAGUUGGCCAAAAAUUUAGAAGAACGAGCAACUUUCGUUUGACAAUUGAAGGAAAGAUAUGACAAAUGGGUCAUGGGUUGGAAAAAAGAGCUUAAUAGCCUUGAGGUCGAAAUGACUAAACAAGCCAAGAACUUCAAGGCUAAGAGGGAGCAGUGCUACGCUUUAAUGGCAAAACUAGAGGGGGAACUACCUCACUUGCAAGAAUAGAAUCAUACGGCCACCCGGGUUUUGGUGGCUAGAUCUCAGCAGAUUAGGCAAUUAUUGCAAGAAAAGGGCAUCAUCAGGGAAAGGGUUAGAAGAAUCGCCGACUACAUUGUAAUGAAGUGCAACGAGUGCGAGGACAUGACCAGGUCCAUGUUCUUCGCCACGACCAUGAUCUUUGUUUGCCAGAUAAUGGAUGAUCUCUAUCGCCUCCAGGAUGACUUGGCGCAUAGGCCUGCAGUAAGACCAAUUGGUGUUCCUAAGGCAGGAUUGGAGGCACUGAUGUCCUCCUGAUUGUUUUCUCUUUUUCGAGUAUGUAUUUUCAUUCCUAAAGUCUAUUUCGAGUCUGUUUUAGUUUCUAUUUCUCAAGUAUGUAGGAUCGAGUCUUUGUAAUAGAGAAAAAUUAGAAGUUUUGUUUUAAUGAAAUUUGAAAAGAAAACCAAAUAUGUUUUAUUUAUUUUGCAUUUAUUCCUUGAACUACGUGAUAAUCUGAUUCACUCGACGUUGUGAUACGUAGGAAAUCCUCAUUGGAUCCGGUCAUGAUUUUUAAAAUAAAAGAUAAAAUGUGGAAAAGAGAAAACCAAAAAGAAAAACCAAAAAGAAAAGAGAGAAAAACAAGGAAAAGAGAAUAAGAGGGAAAAUAAGAAUGUAAAAGAGAGCAAGAGAAAGAUCGGGGAGAUAAACAAAAGCUAGGAUGAGACAUGCAAUCGUUGCAAAACUUGUAGAAAUACAUUUAACUGUAUAGGUGCAUCACACCCCAAUAUGCGAUUCCCUAUGUGUUAAUUGCUUCAAACUAACCAGUUUGUUGUCUACUGUUGAGUCCAGGUUAUGUUUUUAAGGUGGUUGGUUUGUGGUAACCUGGCUUUACACCCAUACUUUACAAGAUCUAAGGGCAGUGUAGAAAUGUCGUCAGAAGGUCAUCCACCAAAAAUUCCCAUCCCAGAGGAUAGCCCACUAUCGGUUAUCCCAACCUCAGAGUCAGCGGCAGCUGAAGAGAAUAGGGCGCUGCGCCUCCGCGUGCUGGAAAUGUAGGAUGCCUGGUCCAAUGGUAGAGAGCCACCAAGUGCCAUACCCGGUUUCCCCGAGUUACUUCCUAGAGCACGUGGAAAUUCUAAUGUCCCAAUAAGUUACCCAAAUACCCCAUUUAGGUACCCCACCAUCUCAGCUCACUUCACCGGAACACCUUCUGAGGUUCGCCCCCAGGUAGUUUCGGGAGUGGCCUCCAACAUAUUUACCGCACCGCCAACCUCGGCUACAGUACAACCAACUGUACCCAGGCCAAGAUUUGAUCCAUCAUCUUUCACUUUCCAAGUACCAUCUUUUCCACUAGAACCUACCCAUUUCACCACCAAUUAUUACCCUCAACAACCCCGGUACGAGUUUACCGCGGGGCAGGAGAAGGCUACAAAGAGCCCCGAGCAAGAGGAAAUCGCUCGGAAAAUGAGAAGCAUGGAACAGAGCCUCAAGAGUAUACAAGGCUUGAGCGGACAAAAGAGCAUAUCCUACGCUGAUCUAUGUAUGUUCCCACAUGUGCAUUUGCCCCUGGGUUUCAAGACCCCAAAGUUCGAAAAGUAUGACGGGCGCGGGGAUCCCAUAGCCCACCUCAAGAGAUAUUGCAAUCAAUUAAGAGGGGCAGGUAGAAAAGAAGAACUCCUAAUGGCUUAUUUCGGAGAGAGUCUAGUUGGUAUUGCAUCUUAGUGGUACAUGGAUCAGUACAUAUCUCGUUGGCACAUUUGGGAUGAUCCGGCUCGAGAUUUUGUCAGGCGGUUUCAGUAUAACAUAGACGUAGCUCCCGACAGGAAUUCUCUAUUGAAUCUCAAGAAGAAGUCAUCAGAAAGUUUCCGAGAAUAUGUUAUUAAAUGGCGCGAACAAGCGGCCAGGGUCAAGCCCCCGAUGGAUGAAACGGAAAUGGUUAGUGUUUUUCUACAAGCCCAAGAAGCUUACUACUUUCAGAAUAUGAUGUCUGCAAUGGGGAAAUUGUUUGCUGAGGCCAUCAAGAUUGGUGAGAUGGUCGAGAAUGGUCUGAAAACAGGGCGCAUAUUGAGCUAAUCUGCCAUAAGAGCUACAUCCCAAGAAAUUCAAAGCGGGUCCGGAGGUGUAACGAAUAGAAAGAAGAAGGAAGAAGUGGCGAUGGUGGCUUCAGGUCUGAGAAACCCUCGUCCACCCAGAGGUUACGUCCCUCCAAGCGCACCACAACAUUAUUAUCCCCACCAGGAUGUGGCUUAUGCUAUGGCCCCCCAGCCUUACGCGGUGAUAAAUGCCUAGCCAUACGCUCGGCCUCAGCAACAGUUUAACCAAAAUAGAGCUCCACUUCCUAGAAAUAACCCUCCUCACCAAGCUCAGUAUAAUCCCCUACCUCCACAAAAUAACUUCCCCUACAAUGCCCAUGCUCAGGAGCCACCCAGGAGAACAAACCUUAUGCCUAUUGGUGAGUCAUAUUCUAGCCUUUUCCCUAAAUUGGUCCAAAUGUGUUUGUUGCAACCCGUACUCCUGAAUAGACAAAACCCCGAGUCACCUUCCUACCGACCCGGUACGCAAUGCACUUAUCAUUCUGGGUGGAAGGGCAUGACACCGAAGACUGUUGGACUCUCAAAAGGGCGAUUGAGAACUUGAUAGAGCAGAAGAGGGUAGUACUGAAAGACGAAGAAAUCCCCAAUGUGACCAACAACCCAUUGCCGGCUCACAAUAACGGGAUAGUCAUUGGGAUGAUUUGUGAAGAUAAAGAGUUUGACCCAGCUCUAAAAGCCAUCAUUUCCAUAGCCAAUGUGAAAAAGAAUCCAAAGGCUACCGCAAAGCAAGAUAAGGGGGAUAAGAAGAGUAAUUCCACUCCUCGAAGUGAAGAAAAGAUUGUGGAUACCGAAACAGGGGCAGUCCCCCCUAAAGACGCCAUUCUUUAUGUUCCCCGAGCUCACAGGAAAGAACAAUUGAUGCUGAGUCCUCUUAAGAGGUUCGAGCUAAACAAGGGACCCAAGAUGUAUGUACCUAAAGGGACAUAUGUGGCGCGGGGGUCAGUAAUUUCACCCAGGUUGAGCGAGACCAUGAUCAUUAGUCGCGCACCGCAAAGGCCUAUAAAAGACCCCACUGCAGUUUGUUGGAGCUACAACAGAGCAAUUGUGACAUACAAAGGGAAAGAAAUUGCAGGGAAAGUAAAUGAAACCAAGCCAUCUAGGAAGUACCUUAAUCUGGAGGAAGUGAACAAUGCCAAACAAAAGCGCUUCCCACUCAAGAAGCCCGUCAGUGCUGAGGAGGCCAAAGAAUUCUUCCGUAAAAUGAAAACUGCGGACUAUGAAGUAAUAGACCAACUAUGAAAGUCUCCCGCUCAGGUCUCGCUUUUGUCACUACUGAUAAGCUCGACUGAGCAUCAGAAAGUGUUGAUAAAGACCCUCAAUGAAGCUUAUUGUUCCGAUUGAAACCACUUUCGAACAACUGGAAAGGAUGGCAGAAAGAUUCUUUGCAGUCAAUCAGAUUUCCUUUAGCAAAAAUGAUUUGCCCCCGGAAGGGGCCGCCCACAAUAAAGCCCUCCAUAUGGCAGUUAAAUAUGAGUGGUACUAUGUGAAAAGAGUCAUGCUGGAUGGCGGAUCUGGAGUUGAUAUAUGCCCUCUCUCAACUUUGCAAAGAAUGGAGAUUGGGACUGAGAGAAUCAGGCCUAUCAAUGUUUGUGUGCAUGCCUUUGAUGGAAUCAAGAGAGACACCAUAAGCGAGAUUAAUUUGAUUUUGACUAUUGGUCCUAUGGAUUUUGAGGUGACAUUUCAGGUCCUAGACAUGGACACUUCUUAUAAUUUCCUCUUGGGAAGGCCUUGGAUUCACUCGGCAAGGGCCGUACAUUCCACUCUCCAAUAGAUGGUGAAAUUUGAAUAUGAAGAUCAGAAGAUUGUAGUCCACAGAGAAGAUGAGCAGUCAAUUUAUCGGGACCCGUUAGUCCCAUGUCUCGAAGCUAGGGAAGGUAGCGAGCAUAUAGUCUAUUAAGCUUUCGAGGUUGUGGUCGCACAUUAAUGUGCGGAGGGAAGCCCGUGUCCUCAGCCCUUUCUGUCAAAUGCAUCCAUCAUGGUCGCUACUGAAAUGAUCAAGCAUGGCUAUAAGCCUGGGAUGGGACUCUGGGCAUCAUUGCAAGGUAUCACAUAACCUAUCACUUUAGCUGCCAGUGAGAAGUUCUUCGAUAUGGGUUUUCAAGCCACGACAGCUGAUGAAACAUGGGCAAAUGAGCGAAAGAAAAAUGGUUGGGUUUUGCCUCAGCCAAUCCCACAUCUUUUCAAGAAUGGUCCAGCCGGAAAAAGGCUUGAGCACCGCUGAGGUGCUGUUUGUGGGGCCCAAUGCCAAGUUGCAAAACUGGAAGGCUACCCCGUUCCCAGUCAGGCGGGAAUCCUGGUAGUCCAGUCUUGCAACCUUUUCUACAUCAUGAGUCGUUCUAGGGUGUAACUCGGAUGUUUCUUUUAGUUUACUGUCUUUAAAUUCCAAUGUAAACUCUAUUAUCUUCAAAAUUCAAUGAAAUGAAAUCAAUAUUUCAUCGUCUAUGAAUUUCUUUCUUUAUUCUUUCUGAUUUUUUUACUUUUCUUAUUUCUUCCUUUCAGUUCUAAUAAUGCGGACUUAAAUACCUGACAUGCUUGUAGACUUCAUGCCCAGAUCAUAGCACGCUGUCUAACUGUGAAAUAAUGAAUCAAGAACCGGAAUAUGAUGAAGAAGAGGUUUUUAGGGAAAUAAAUCGAGAAUUGGAACAAUUCGAGAAUAAACCUAAGCCAAACUUAAAUGAAACCGAGCUGGUUAAUUUGGGUAGUUCUGAAGAGGUCCAAAAAACCAUGAUAAGCAUUCAUACGGAUGAAAGAACUAGGGAUGCACUGAUCCAACUUUUGUUUGAAUUCAAAGAUGUGUUUGCUUGGUCCUACGAUGAUAUGCCAGGAUUAAGUGUUUAUCUAGUGUUGCACAAAUUGCCAACUUACCCCGAUUGUCCCCCUGUCCAGCAAAAACAAAGAAAGUUCAAAACUGACAUUAGUGACAAGAUCAAAGAAGAGGUCACCAAGCAGUUGAAAGCAGGUAUGAUCAGAGUGAUCCGAUACACCACAUGGUUGGCUAAUGUAGUCUCAGUGCCAAAGAAAGACGGGAAAACCCGAGUGUGUGUUGACUAUCGGGAUUUGAACAAAACAAGUCCCAAAGACAACUUUCCUAUACCAAACAUCCACAUCCUCGUUGUCAACUAUGCCAAACAUGAGAUACAGUCUUUCGUGGAUUGUUAUGCUGGAUAUCAUCAGGUCUUGAUGGAUGAAUAAGAUGCAGAAAAAAUAGUCUUCACCACACCCGGGGGCACCUAUUGUUACAGGGUCAUGCCUUUUGGUCUAAAGAAUGCCGGUGCAACGUACAUGAGAGCUAUGACUACCAUCUUUUAUGACAUGAUACACCAAGAAAUCGAGGUGUAUAUGGAUGAUGUGAUCAUUAAGUCCAAGACACAGUAUGACCAUGUUCGGGACCUGAGAAAGUUCUUUGAGCGUCUGCGCAAGUAUGAUUUGAAGCUAAACCUGGCUAAAUGUUCAUUUGGAGUUCCGUCUGGGAAACUCUUGGGAUUCAUCAUCAGUCGAAGAGGCAUUGAUCUAGAUCCAAUAAAGAUAAACUCUAUUUGGGAUUUGCCUCCUCCGAGAACCAAGAAAGAGGUUAUGAGUUUGUUGGGAAGGUUGAACUACAUCAGCCGAUUCAUUGCUCAGUUAACUUCCACAUGUGAGCCCAUAUUCAAGCUGUUAAAGAAAGAUGCAGCGAUUAAAUGGACAGAUGAGUGUCAAGAAGCCUUUGACAAAAUCAAAGAAUAUCUGUCGAACCUGCCAGUCUUGGUCGCACCCGAAUCGGGGAGGCCUUUAUUUUUGUACCUGACAGUCUUGGAGAAUUCUUUCGGCUGUGUCCUCGGGCAACACAAUGUGACCGGGAACAAGAAGCAGGCAGUAUACUAGCUGAUCAAGAAGUUCACUAGCUACGAAGCCAAAUACACUUUGUUGGAAAGGACUUGCUGCGCCCUAACUUGGGUCACUCAGAAGCUUAGACAUUACCUGUUGGUCUAUACCACUUACCUCAUCACCAGGAUGGAUCCUUUAAAGUACAUAUUCCAGAAGUCGAUGCCCACCGAGAGGUUGGCAAAAUGGAAAAUCCUGCUUACCGAGUUUGAUAUAGUCUAUGUCACUCGCACUGCAAUGAAGGCCCAAGCUCUAGCGGAUCACCUAGCUGAAAACCCUGUUGAUGAUGAAUAUCAGCCUCUGAAUACCUACUUUUAGGACGAGGAAGUGAAUUCAGUUGAGGUCAUUUCAGAAGACACCAAUGCUUGGAAAAUGUUCUUCGAUGGAGCGGUGAAUGCAAAAGGUGUCGGGAUUGGGGCAAUCUUGAUCUCACCCACUGGUCAACACUAUCCAACCACAUUCCGGCUUUGGUUUUUCUGCACAAACAACACUGCCAAGUAUGAAGCCUGCAUUAUGGGUAUGAAUAUGGCAAUCGACCAAGAUGUGGAAGAAUUGAUAAUCAUGGGAGAUUCGAAUCUGAUUAUCCGACAAGCUCAGGGAGAAUGGGAAACUCUGGAUGUCAAGCUUAUUCCAUACAGGCAACAUGUGGAAGAUCUUAGCAAGCAGUUCAAGUCAGUCGAGUCAGUUACAUUCCUCGUUUUCACAAUGAGUUAGCCAAUGCACUCUCUACUUUGGCCUCGAUGUUGCCAUAUCCAGGCAAUGUCCACAUUGACCCGUUGGAAAUCCAAAUUUGAGAAAGGCACGAUUACUGCAAUAUGAUUGAGGUGGAACCAAAUGUUCAGCCAUGGUAUCAUGAUAUCGAGAGAUUUCUGAAAAUGAAAGAAUAUCCCGAGCAAGCCAAUGGAGACCAAAAGAGAACCAUUAGAAGGCUUGCUAGCGGUUUCUUCUUGAGCGGCGAGAUCUUGUACAAAAGGACUCCAGAUCUUAACUUGUUAAGAUGUGUGGAUGCCGAAGAGGCCGGAAGAAUCAUGCAUGAAGUACACGCAGGAGUGUGUGGACCCCAUAUGAAUGGAUACGUCCUGGCAAAGAAAAUCCUUCGAGCAGGCUACUACUGGAUGACCAUGGAAAAGGAUUGCUUCAGCUUUGUCCGAAAAUGUCAUCAGUGUCAGGUGCAUGGCGACCUGAUUCAUGCACCACCUACAGAACUGCCUCAUAUGUCAGCACCUUGGUUGUUCGUUGCUUGGGGUGUGGAUGUCAUUGGGCCAAUCGAGCCAAAGUCUUCAAAUGGGCAUAGAUUCAUAUUGGUUGCCAUUGACUACUUUAUGAAAUGGGUUAAAGCAGUCACUCUCAAAGCCAUCACUAAGAAAGCAGUGGUGGAUUUCGUGCACUCCAAUAUCAUCUGCCGUUUUGGUAUUCCUACGACUAUCAUUACGGAUAAUGCUGUAAACUUGAAUAGUCACUUGAUGAGGGAGAUAUGUGAGCAGUUCAAGAUCACACAUCAUAAUUCUACCCCUUAUCGGCCCAAAGCCAAUGGUGCUGUUGAAGCAGCAAACAAGAACAUCAAGAAGAUUCUUAGGAAGAUGAUCCAAAGUUCCAGGCAAUGGCAUGAAAAGUUGUCAUUUGCAUUGUUGGGAUAUCGCACAACUAUGCGCACAUCAGUCGGAGCAACCCCCUAUCUAUUGGUUUGUGGCACCGAAGCCGUGAUACCCGCAGAAGUUGAAAUCCCUUCUCUUCGGGUCAUUGUUGAAGCUGAGAUUGAGGACAGUGAGUGGGUCAAAACUCAUCUAGAACAGUUAACCCUAAUUGAUGAAAAACGGAUGGCCGCCGUUUGCUCUGGGCAGUUGUAUCAACAAAGAAUGGCUCGUGCCUACUACAAAAAAGUGCGGCCUAUGAACUUUGAAGUGGGGUAAUUCGUUUUGAGACGUAUUCUCCCGCAUCACAAGGAAGCAAUAGGAAAGUUCGCUCCAAACUGGAAGGGCCCAUACAUUAUCAGAAAAUUGUUGCCGAAAGGGGUGUUGUACCUGGGAGACAUUGAAAGAAAUGACCCUGAAACUGCUGUAAAUCCAGACGUGGUCAAAAGGUAUUACGUUUAACCCUUUUGCGGUAAUAAUAUUAUCCGAUUGGGAUGAUGAAGGCUUUCAUUCUUGCAACCCCAAAACGUUUGUAAAAAAAUCAAAUCAAAACAAAAAUAAAAACAAAAACAAAAGUUUCCCUGAACUACGUUCGACUUGAUUCCGAAAGGAUACGUAGGCAGCCUCUCUCUGGGGUUUAGUCACACCAAAAAAAAAUUCAAAUUCCCCCAAAAGUAAAACUGGGGCAAAUGUUAUAAUAGUUCGGCGACGGUUCACCAGAAAUAUUCCAAAGUUGUAAUUCAAUCCAAACUCUUUUUACCCUAAAUCUUGUUCAAGUCCUUUUGAUCAAGUGAUGAGAAUGUUCGAGAAUCGGAGAAUGCGGCUGCUUGGAUCCGAUACAACCAGAUGAGAGAAAUAAAAUAAGAGAGUCUUAUUGGUGAAAACCCGCACGGGCACCGUAAGGCGAUGGUAAGCAGAGAAAUUAAAAAUGAGAGAGUCUUGUUAGUGAAAACUCGUAAAGAGCACUAUAAGGCAAUAGUGAGAAGAGAAAUGAGAGAGGUCAAUUGGCGAAAACCCGAAAAGGGCACCGUUGAUCGAGAAGAAGGAAUCCCUUACAACUAUUGGCACUGAAAGAGUCCUGGCAAGGUUUCCCGGUUUUAAAACACAGGUCAUAAUGGGUUUAUGAGAAGUUGGAUAGUUGCAUAGAUCGGGUAUCCAGUCCAAGAAGCAUGUCAUGUCUAUUGAAGUCUGCAUGUACUCCAGAUAAGUCCUUCUUUCCUUCCCCGAAUGGGACACUUCUCUUUAAAUUCAUUUUCCUAUCCUUUCUUUACUUUUCUUUGAAUCCCUUUCGGUUUAAUCCUCCUCCGAAACUAAUACAAAAAAAGAUGGCAAGAUUGGUUUUACAGGGUUCUGCUUAGCAAAAGCAAAGUUUAGGAAAAGGCACUCAGCCUCAGCAGGUGCAUCAAGUCGUCCUUGACUGGCCAUGAUGGCCGAUGCUCUAGAGUCAAAAAUUCUUGAAAAGGAAGGAAUUCAAAGUUAAGUGCCCAUAAAGGAAAAAUGAAAUGAAAAACCAAGCCCUACGGGUUAACCGUCAUGUGAAAUUUUGGGAAAAGUCAAGAUACUCGGUUUUAGAAGAGAAGUCGGUCUCCAGAAAGCCAGCAAGUAGUAAAGGAUUUUAGCAAAAGGGUUGGGCCGAGAUCAAAUGAUCAAAACAAUCAAGGCCACAAACCAACCGCCGUUUCAAACUGACAAAUUGUUCUUUAUUUUGAAAAUAGGUGCAAUCUAAGAUAAACUCACAAGAAGCAGGUGCAAUAAAAGCAAGGUGCGCAGAGACCAGAAUGGUCCUGCAGUUGAAGUUAACCCAAAAAGGGAAGUCCCUUUCAAACUCUUCAUGCAUUCUCUUAAAUAAAGUAUUAAAAGUGAAAUGAAAACAAGAAGAAGAAAAAUUAGAAAAUCAUGGUAGCCUAGGGUCCCCAAUCUUUAGCUACGUUCUUCCAAUAUAGGGUCCCAUUCCCUAGUCACUCUCAGCAUAACCUGGUAGUCUUUUCUAUUAUAGGGUUCCACUCACUAGUUAAUCCCCAACAUAACCCAAGGAUCUUUUUCUUUUUCGGCAUAACCCGAUGACUUUUCCGGCAUAACCCGAGGACCUUUUUCUCUUUUUCAGCAUAACCCGAUUACUUUCCCGACAUAAACCGAGGACCUCCUCGGCAUAACCCGAGGACCUUUUCCGGCAUAACUCGAUGACCUUUCCCGGCAUAACCUGUGGACCUCCCUGUUAUAACCCGAGGACCUUUUUCUUUUCCGGCAUAACCCGAUGACUUUCCCGGCAUAACCCGAGGACCUUUUUCCUCCCCGACAUAACCCGAGGACCUUUUUCUCUUUUCCUGCAUAAACCGACGACUUUCCCGGCAUAACGCGAGGACCUCCCCAGCAUAACCCAAGGACCUUUUCAGGCAUAACCCGAUGACCUUUCCUGGCAUAACCCGUGGACCUCCCCAGCAUAACCCGAUGACUUUCCCGGUAUAACCCGUAGAUCUCCCUGGCAUAACCCGAAGACCUUUUCUGGCAUAACCCGAUGACUUCCCCGGCAUAACCCGAGGACCUUUUCCGGCAUAACCCGAGGACCGUUUUCCUUCCCGGCAUAACCCGAUGACUUUUCCGGCAUAACCCGUGGACCUCCCAGGAAUAACCCGAGGACCUUUUCUUUUCCGGCAUAACUCGAUGACUUUCCCCGGCAUAACCUAUGGACCUUCCCGGUAUAACUCGAGGACCUUCCUACCUUUUCGGCAUAACCCGACCAUUUUUCCAGCAUAACCUGGCAAUCUUUCCAAUUUAAGGCCCCCAAUCCCUAGUUAAUUUCAUUAUAGAUAUAGGGCUCCGCUCCCUAAUAUCUUUUUCCCAAGGAUACACCAUCCUGAUUUUAAUUGCUUUCAAUAAAGAAAUAGUUUAGAUUUUGUUACAAUAACUCACGAAAUUUUCCUAGUGAAAACUGAGGCAGAAAAAUUUCGUUCGUUUGUUUGUUUUUGUGCUUGAGUAGGUUUUUACCUUGAUGCACAAGUUUCGAGGUGACCAAAAGAAGAAGUCUCGAUUGAAAUGAAAGAAAAGAAGUGAAGUCUAAGUGUAGAAGCGGAGAAAAGAUGUGGACUGCUCAAGACAUGAUUGAAGUCACAAGCUUUGCAUGUCCCGCCUUCAUCCGAAGAGCUGAAGAAAAAUGAACCAGCAUUCGCAGCUAACGAGCAUCAAGAUUCAGAUUGGAGUCUGCAGGAAGAACCAGCCAAGACUCAAGAUCAAGCUUCAGAAGAUUUAUAGAUAGGAAUCUUUUAACUCGUAGCUGAUAGGUUUAGUUAGUCUUUUUCAUUUUGAUGUAAUAACAGGAUCGCGGACUAAAGCCUCGAUGGAACCUCACUUGACUCUCGAACUCAUCACUCCAUCAUCCUUCUAGAACUACACCGACCUGAUUCCUUCAUAGCCAAGGAUAUGUAGGCAACCUCCG